GGAUCAGCUGAAACAACCCAAACAAGUUUACAGAAUCGGAAUUUUCAAAAAGAAGGGCUCGAUUGUUCAAAUAGAUCUGCUGAUUUCUUAAAUGAAUCUGAUAUUCAAGGGAAGUUCCCACUCAUGGGAGGCAAUUUGUUGACGUCAUCCUGUUUGAAUUUAAAAAGCAAGAGUGUAAUAGGAUCUGUAGCUAAUGGCCACCUUUCAUCAGCUUUAGAUCCAACAAACAGGAAUGCGUCACUAGUGCAGCUGGGAACUGGUUACAUGAACUAUUACAGUUUUGGUUAUAUAGCUUCAUCAAUUGCAGAAGAAUUGAUGCGUAAGUCAGCAGACAAAACCAUGGAGAACUCUAU
This 353-nucleotide unclassified non-coding RNA is filed under the name Hevea brasiliensis (rubber tree). Lineage: Eukaryota; Viridiplantae; Streptophyta; Magnoliopsida; Malpighiales; Euphorbiaceae. The record is from RNAcentral.